GGACCAUAGCUCAGUAGUAGAGCAUCUGCCUUGCAUGCAGAACAUCCCAGGUUCAAUCCCUGGCACCUCCA
Molecule: non-coding RNA, 71 nt
Organism: Podarcis lilfordi (Lilford's wall lizard)
Lineage: Eukaryota; Metazoa; Chordata; Lepidosauria; Squamata; Lacertidae
Source: the annotation of a GenBank genome assembly